GCCAGCAGCCAGAUCACCCUGCAACUCACAACUGGCAACCCACUGAAGCUAAGCAGGUGUGAGCCUGGUCAGUACCUGGAUGUGAGACCUCCUGGGAAAAACUAGGGUUGCUGCUGGAA
This is a ribosomal RNA of Lepisosteus oculatus (spotted gar), 119 nucleotides long. The record is from Ensembl. Lineage: Eukaryota; Metazoa; Chordata; Actinopteri; Semionotiformes; Lepisosteidae.